CCAUUCUGUGUGUGUGAAGAAGGUUUUUAGGACUGUAAAACACUUUUAGUAGGGAAGAAAAAAAUGACGGUACCUACAGAAGAAGCAACGGCUAAAUACGUGCCAGCAGCCGCGGUAAUACGUAUGUUGCGAGCGUUUUCCGGAAUUAUUGGGCUUAAAGGGCAUGUAGGCGCUAAGACAAGUUGAAGGUGAAAACCUGUGGCUCAACCAUAGGCUC
This 217-nucleotide ribosomal RNA is filed under the name uncultured Leptotrichia sp. RNAcentral's name for it is "partial 16S ribosomal RNA". It matches the Rfam family "Bacterial small subunit ribosomal RNA", at positions 392 to 622 of the family's 1533-position model. The record is from RNAcentral. Lineage: Bacteria; Fusobacteriati; Fusobacteriota; Fusobacteriia; Fusobacteriales; Leptotrichiaceae.